UCUACCAUGGCCUAGUGGUAACGCUCACGACUUUGAUUCGUCACGGCGAGGGUUCGAGGCCCUCCACGUCUGAGGUUAGAA
Non-coding RNA from Halocaridina rubra (Hawaiian volcano shrimp), 81 nucleotides. Lineage: Eukaryota; Metazoa; Arthropoda; Malacostraca; Decapoda; Atyidae. The record is from the annotation of a GenBank genome assembly.